Molecule: transfer RNA, 91 nt
Filed under: Bacilli bacterium
Lineage: Bacteria; Bacillati; Bacillota; Bacilli
Also listed under: 1 other name
Description: tRNA-Ser
Rfam family: tRNA
About the family: Transfer RNA (tRNA) molecules are approximately 80 nucleotides in length.
Source: RNAcentral
GGAGGAAUACCCAAGAGGCUGAAGGGGCGGGCUUGGAAAGCUCGUAGACUGGUAACUCGGUGCGAGGGUUCAAAUCCCUCUUCCUCCGCCA